UACAGAGGUCCCAAGCGUUGUUCGGAUUCAUUGGGCGUAAAGGGUGCGUAGGCGGCGCGGUAAGUCGGGUGUGAAAUCUCGGAGCUUAACUCCGAAACUGCAUUCGAUACUGCCGUGCUUGAGGACUGGAGAGGAGACUGGAAUUUACGGUGUAGCGGUGAAAUGCGUAGAUAUCGGGAGGAACACCAGCGGCGAAGGCGGCACUCUGGGCUGGUACUGACGCUGAGGAGCGAAAGCGUGGGUAGCAAACAGG
This 253-nucleotide ribosomal RNA is filed under the name uncultured bacterium. RNAcentral's name for it is "partial 16S ribosomal RNA". It matches the Rfam family "Bacterial small subunit ribosomal RNA", at positions 524 to 776 of the family's 1533-position model. The record is from RNAcentral.